CCUACGGGCGGCAGCAGUGAGGAAUAUUGGUCAAUGGUCGGGAGACUGAACCAGCCAAGCCGCGUGAGGGAGGAAGGUACAGAGUAUCGUAAACCUCUUUUGUCAGGGAACAAAGACUGGGACGCGUCCCCGGAUGAGUGUACCCGAAGAAAAAGCAUCGGCUAACUCCGUGCCAGCAGCCGCGGUAAUACGGAGGAUGCGAGCGUUAUCCGGAUUUAUUGGGUUUAAAGGGUGCGCAGGCGGAUUUUUAAGUCAGCGGUCAAAUCGUGGGGCUCAACCCCAUACAGCCGUUGAAACUGGGGAUCUAGAGUGUGCGAGAGGUAUGCGGAAUGCGUGGUGUAGCGGUGAAAUGCAUAGAUAUCACGCAGAACUCCGAUUGCGAAGGCAGCAUACCGGUGCACAACUGACGCUCAGGCACGAAAGCGUGGGUAUCGAACAGGAUUAGAUACCCCAGUAGUC
RNAcentral lists this ribosomal RNA (459 nucleotides) under uncultured bacterium. RNAcentral describes it as "partial 16S ribosomal RNA". It matches the Rfam family "Bacterial small subunit ribosomal RNA", at positions 338 to 795 of the family's 1533-position model. The record is from RNAcentral.